This 497-nucleotide ribosomal RNA is filed under the name uncultured bacterium. RNAcentral describes it as "partial 16S ribosomal RNA". It matches the Rfam family "Bacterial small subunit ribosomal RNA", at positions 28 to 507 of the family's 1533-position model. The record is from RNAcentral.
GAUGAACGCUGGCGGCGUGCCUAAUACAUGCAAGUCGAGCGAACAGACGAGGAGCUUGCUCCUCUGACGUUAGCGGCGGACGGGUGAGUAACACGUGGAUAACCUACCUAUAAGACUGGGAUAACUUCGGGAAACCGGAGCUAAUACCGGAUAAUAUAUUGAACCGCAUGGUUCAAUAGUGAAAGACGGUUUUGCUGUCACUUAUAGAUGGAUCCGCGCCGCAUUAGCUAGUUGGUAAGGUAACGGCUUACCAAGGCAACGAUGCGUAGCCGACCUGAGAGGGUGAUCGGCCACACUGGAACUGAGACACGGUCCAGACUCCUACGGGAGGCAGCAGUAGGGAAUCUUCCGCAAUGGGCGAAAGCUUGACGGAGCAACGCCGCGUGAGUGAUGAAGGUCUUCGGAUCGUAAAGCUCUGUUAUUAGGGAAGAACAGAUGUGUAAGUAACUAUGCACGUCUUGACGGUACCUAAUCAGAAAGCCACGGCUAACUACGUG